CCCCUAGUAACUGCGAGGAAGCGGGAAAGCUCAAAUUUAAAAUCUGGCAGUCUUUGGCUGUCCGAGUUGUAAUCUAGAGAAGUGCUAUCCGUGCUGGACCGUGUACAAGUCUCCUGGAAUGGAGCGUCACAGAGGGUGAGAAUCCCGUCUUUGACACGGACUCCCCAGUACAUUGUGAUGUGCUCUCAAAGAGUCGAGUUGUUUGGGAAUGCAGCUCUAAAUGGGUGGUAAAUUCCAUCUAAAGCUAAAUAUUGGCGAGAGACCGAUAGCGAACAAGUACCGUGAGGGAAAGAUGAAAAGAACUUUGGAAAGAGAGUUAAACAGUACGUGAAAUUGUUGAAAGGGAAACGCUUGAAGUCAGUCAUGUUGGCCAGGGAUCAACCCUGCUUUUUUGCUGGGUGUACUUCCUGGUUGAUAGGUCAGCAUCAAUUUUGACCACUGGAAAAAGGCUGAGGGAAUGUGGCAUCUUCGGAUGUGUUAUAGCCCUUGGUUGUAUACAGUGGUUGGGAUUGAGGAACUCAGCAUGCCGCAAGGCCAGGUCUUUGACCAUGUUCAUGCUUAGGAUGCUGGCAUAAUGGCUUUAAUCGACCCGUCUUGAAACACGGACCAAGGAGUCUAACAUGCCUGCGAGUGUUUGGGUGGAAAACCCGAGCGCGUAAUGAAAGUGAAAGUUGAGAUCCCUGUCGUGGGGAGCAUCGACGCCCGGACCAGAACUUUUGGGACGGAUCUGCGGUAGAGCAUGUAUGUUGGGACCCGAAAGAUGGUGAACUAUGCCUGAAUAGGGCGAAGCCAGAGGAAACUCUGGUGGAGGCUCGUAGCGAUUCUGACGUGCAAAUCGAUCGUCGAA
This 847-nucleotide ribosomal RNA is filed under the name Amanita vittadinii. RNAcentral's name for it is "eukaryotic LSU rRNA". It matches the Rfam family "Eukaryotic large subunit ribosomal RNA", at positions 77 to 909 of the family's 3401-position model. Lineage: Eukaryota; Fungi; Basidiomycota; Agaricomycetes; Agaricales; Amanitaceae. The record is from RNAcentral.